RNAcentral lists this transfer RNA (77 nucleotides) under bacterium. RNAcentral describes it as "tRNA-Met". It matches the Rfam family "tRNA". From Rfam's summary of the family: Transfer RNA (tRNA) molecules are approximately 80 nucleotides in length. RNAcentral also lists the same sequence under 1 other name. The record is from RNAcentral.
GGCUGGGUAGCUCAGAUGGUUAGAGCGGCGGAUUCAUAACCCGCAGGUCGGCGGUUCGACUCCGCCCUCAGCCACCA